Molecule: unclassified non-coding RNA, 21 nt
Filed under: Mus musculus (house mouse)
Lineage: Eukaryota; Metazoa; Chordata; Mammalia; Rodentia; Muridae
Description: oocyte_clustered_small_RNA10665
Source: RNAcentral
AGUACAAGUGCGAGAUCGAGC